UGCCAGAAUGACCGCGUCCCCCAUACC
RNAcentral lists this non-coding RNA (27 nucleotides) under Bombyx mori (domestic silkworm). Lineage: Eukaryota; Metazoa; Arthropoda; Insecta; Lepidoptera; Bombycidae. The record is from RNAcentral.